Lolium rigidum is the source of this 3103-nucleotide long non-coding RNA. RefSeq lists it as uncharacterized. Lineage: Eukaryota; Viridiplantae; Streptophyta; Magnoliopsida; Poales; Poaceae. The record is from RefSeq and is a predicted model, not a curated record. The transcript has 3 exons.
AGCAUGCGACGCGAGGGCAGGCCUGACUAGCGCAGUGGAGCGAGCAGGGCAGCAGGCGACCGCGAGGAUGAAGAAUAGUGCUGCUGAAACUAGCUUAUUUGCAUUGUGGGAAAAAACUUCAAAAGCAAAAAAGGAAAGACAUAAAAAGAUGAAUACCUAGCGUCUAAUACCUGGCGCGGCCAGUGGUACCAUCUUGCAAGGAUAAGAAGACAACCAUAUAUAGUGUUGACGGUAGCUCGAAGACUACGGGAACUCGAGAGCGGAGAAGGCAUGACUAGGAGUAGGGUGCCGUCGCAGACGGUCUGGCCAUGUCCUCUUGCUCCACUCCACGACAUCUACCUACAAGUGAUCGGGUAAGAUUUGUCGACCUCUAGAUGACUAUAAUUGGUGCUUUAUGGACUUAUGAAAGUUUCUUUUUGGUGAUUACAUAUGUGGGUAGUUGUCUGGGGUAUGCUUCCUCCUUACACACGGUUGGAUCCAAGAGUCCUGGUAGAUUUUCGUUUGGCUCACCAUAAUCAACGAGAGCGGCUGCCUGCGUGUGCUCUGUGGUGUUGAGCCUCCCUACGUGUCCGCAUAAUUGAGGAAGACUUCUGUAGUUGUUGCCGCAAUUGAGGGUGAGCACAACAUGACUGAUUGCAUUCUUUGUUGGUUAACUCACAAUGAACAUGAACAUGAACAAUUGACUAUUGAUUACUGGAUGUGUUAGUUCUUCCUGCCGUCUUCGAUGGAUUUUAUCGACAAUAUGUCAUUUGAGCAGGAGAUUAGCUGAUGGCCACCUCUUCCAUCUAAAAAUAUGUUAUCCUACUUUACGAUUAGUAGGAUCAGCAAGAACAAGUGAUAGCUAAACAGGCACACACUAAUUGGAUAUUGAUUUCUGUUUUCUAGAAUGUAUCUUUCCUGCAAGCAAAAAACGAACAUGGUCGUAGAUACGCGGCUGCACUUGUAGUUCGUCCUUUGUACUUUAUUAAUUAGGACCUUUGGGCUAGCAGGAGAUUACUUAUUACUUAAAGUUUUAAAGUGGUGUCCAUAUAGUACAUAAAAAUGUAAGUAUAUCGGCCGGUUCUUAAUCUAAGGAAUAUGUUUAAAUGUAAAAAAAAGCAGUAUGUUUAUUUGAGAAUUUUACAUAGCCUCCACGACCGUCAGUUGUGUUUAAGUCAUAGUUUCAGCAAAUCACCAUCAAUUAGUAGGGAAUGGGUUUAGCAAGUUUGAGCUGUGGAGAUGCCGAUUUGACGUAUUUUCUUUUCCAGUUUAUACAACGACUUGGGAUUAUUAUUUGGACUUCGUUAUCCAGACUCACAAGUGUCAAAAGUAUGUGUGUGAUUCAGGGAAUCAUUCAAAUAUAAUACUGGCAAAUGUCUACACUCUACACUGAAUCUUUUAUACAUCUUGAUGAUUGUGAAGUGGGUCUUUGAAUGGUUAGAUUUGCGUGACUUUUUUUAGCACAGAAUAGCAAUUUCAAUGCCAUUCCUUAUUGAUCAAAAAAGUAUCCGAUUUUUUUAGAUUCCAUUAUGUCAAAAUUUCUAUGCUACGAAAAUAGCUUUCAAUACAAAUGCAGUAUGUAUUUUAACAAUGUGAUUUUGGCUUUUUAUACAUGUGUUAACAUUUAAGGUAGCAGAGUUGCAGUCUUGGCAACCUGCAGGGUUUCUUUGACAAUGGACACAAAUGGAGCCAGAUUGAGUGGUUGAGCCCUAUGUCAGGCAAUUAUAUGGCAAUUUACUGAUCCAAGUGUAACUGUUUUGGUUUUAUGUGACUUUUGUCUUCAGUUCAUAUUACACAGGUUGUCACUAUAUGUUCUAACUAGAAUUUAGCACGAAAGUUGUGUUUGUGACUAAAAGUUUAGCAUCUGUAGAACAAAUAGCGUAUUUUUAUGCACUAUUUGUCGGUUGUCGCAGAAAAUAAGGUCCACAUUGUUCAGCCAUGUUGAGAACAGAGAAAACAUGUGCAAUAUCAGGCAUUUCAUUAUACAGUGGUACGUAAUUAAUAUGUAGCUUCUCUAUUUUGCGAAUGACCGUCACUGUAAGCCUUAAGUUAUGGUCCUAUUGAAUUUUCUCCAUCAUAUAAGGUUACUUUUUUGCAGCUACGAAGUGGCUCAAGGAAAAUCUUGUGUAUUGUGUGGCUGACCAAAGGCAAAGACAAAGAGGCCAGAGUGACACAAUGGCAGGGUUGGUCCCCAGUAACCGGAUGGGUCGUAUACAUCAUCAACCAAACAAGGGAUCCUAUGACAUGAAGAGAACAUAGAAGUAAGUCAAUCACCCCUUAAGGAUCCGCUUCAGUAAAAAAACGGUUGUAAUUGAAAUGCUUCUACAACUGGAGAACUUCUCUAUGCCUACAGAAUUUUUCCAUUAAGAGAGUGAGAAAAUUGAAUGGAUCGAAGAAUUAUGUUUCCAGGUCAAAAAAAUAAAUCAUUGGUUUAUGUAUAUAUAAUAACCUUCAAAUGCAUGAUGUAAUAUUUGCACUAACACUAUUUGAAUUUGCAGAAGUCUGGUUUGGUUACUGUGGUCCCUAAUGUUACACCUCCUUCCAGAGCAGCUAAAUAGAAAAAAACGGCACAUUUACAUCAUUCAUGGGAGACACGUGGAAACAUUACUGGUUUCCAAAAUGUGCCAUCGUAAGAUAUAUGUCAAGCUUUACAUGAAAACAGCCACUGUUAAUCUAUUCAUGAGCCAGUUGUAGAUAUUUCAUCGACAUGGCACUUGGCCAGUUUUUUGGGGAGAUCAUCCGUUCCAGCAUAGAACUUUUCUCAUUCUACGACUAUGUCUAACGUUUCACAAUUAGACUAUAAGUAGUGUCUGAAUGCUGGUAUGUUGGCGUUUAAUAGCACUUCUGUUACCAGGUGGUACAUCACCAUAUAGUCCAAGUGGCGGCAAUUCAAGAAAGGUGAUGUAUGUAAAGCAAGAUAAUACUCUGGUGAAGUAUUGACCUCUGUUGACUUAUAGACAAGUGAUGCUUUUUUACAGUACACAUACAUUGCUAUUUCAAAUUGAGUGCCAUGGUGGAAAUCACACUCGAAACGAGUACCUUUGAUGACUUAUAAACAAGUGACGUGUGUGAAGAGUACAAAUACAAUGAUGUUUCAAAUUGAGUUCCACGAUGAAAACAACUA